RNAcentral lists this long non-coding RNA (316 nucleotides) under Neodiprion lecontei (redheaded pine sawfly). RNAcentral describes it as "uncharacterized LOC124294517, transcript variant X2". Lineage: Eukaryota; Metazoa; Arthropoda; Insecta; Hymenoptera; Diprionidae. The record is from RNAcentral.
GAGUAAGGCUCCGGUAAAGCAUCGCUAGAUACCAGAUGUUGGAGGUGGAAAUUGGUGUACAGUUAUAUAAUUUCUGCAUCGAAGCCGACGCCAAACGCAUUACGCACGCGGAGACAUCUCUGAGCGACGCGGAAAAAAGUGCGCGCGCGCUCCAAAAAUCCACCAGGAAAGACGAAGAAGACGAAAAUUUGGCCAUCGAAGGACAAAUGUAUGGUGCUGGGAUUGCAGACUAACGAUUCAAAAGUGCACCAGUGGUGCUGCGUGCCGCGGAGCCCUGCAAGCAAACAUGCCCCGGGAAGAUAGCUGUGGAGCCGCC